RNAcentral lists this transfer RNA (86 nucleotides) under Magnetospirillum sp. RNAcentral's name for it is "tRNA-Leu". It matches the Rfam family "tRNA". From Rfam's summary of the family: Transfer RNA (tRNA) molecules are approximately 80 nucleotides in length. The record is from RNAcentral. Lineage: Bacteria; Pseudomonadati; Pseudomonadota; Alphaproteobacteria; Rhodospirillales; Rhodospirillaceae. RNAcentral also lists the same sequence under 5 other names.
GCGGUCGUGGCGGAACGGUAGACGCGCCAGCUUGAGGUGCUGGUGGCCGAAAGGUCGUGGAAGUUCGAGUCUUCUCGACCGCACCA